RNAcentral lists this transfer RNA (82 nucleotides) under Flavobacteriales bacterium. RNAcentral's name for it is "tRNA-Tyr". It matches the Rfam family "tRNA". From Rfam's summary of the family: Transfer RNA (tRNA) molecules are approximately 80 nucleotides in length. Their secondary structure includes four short double-helical elements and three loops (D, anti-codon, and T loops). Further hydrogen bonds mediate the characteristic L-shaped molecular structure. tRNAs have two regions of fundamental functional importance: the anti-codon, which is responsible for specific mRNA codon recognition, and the 3' end, to which the tRNAs corresponding amino acid is attached (by aminoacyl-tRNA synthetases). tRNAs cope with the degeneracy of the genetic code in two manners: having more than one tRNA (with a specific anti-codon) for a particular amino acid; and 'wobble' base-pairing, i.e. permitting non-standard base-pairing at the 3rd anti-codon position. The record is from RNAcentral. Lineage: Bacteria; Pseudomonadati; Bacteroidota; Flavobacteriia; Flavobacteriales.
GGGGGGAUACUCAAGCGGUCAACGAGGUCAGACUGUAAAUCUGAUGGCUCAGCCUUCGAAGGUUCGAAUCCUUCUCCCCCCA